UACGUAGGGUGCAAGCGUUGUCCGGAAUUAUUGGGCGUAAAGAGCUCGUAGGCGGUCUGGUCGCGGUCGGCUGUGAAAACCCGGAGCUCAACUCCGGGCCUGCAGUCGAUACGGGCAGACUGGAGUUCGGCAGGGGAGACUGGAAUUCCUGGUGUAGCGGUGAAAUGCGCAGAUAUCAGGAGGAACACCGGUGGCGAAGGCGGGGUCUCUGGGGCCGAUGACUGACGCUGAGGAGCGAAAGCGUGGGGAGCGAACAGGA
Molecule: ribosomal RNA, 259 nt
Filed under: uncultured bacterium
Lineage: Bacteria
Description: partial 16S ribosomal RNA
Rfam family: Bacterial small subunit ribosomal RNA
Source: RNAcentral